GCUUUCGCCUGUGACGAAGCGUGAGUGACGGUAAUGGGUAAAGAAGCACCGGCUAACUACGUGCCAGCAGCCGCGGUGAUACGUAGGGUGCGAGCGUUGUCCGGAUUUAUUGGGCGUAAAGGGCUCGUAGGUGGUUGAUCGCGCCGGAAGUGUAAUCUUGGGGCUUAACCCUGAGCGUGCUUUCGAUACGGGUUGACUUGAGGAAGGUAGGGGAGAAUGGAAUUCCUGGUGGAGCGGUGGAAUGCGCAGAUAUCAGGAGGAACACCAGUGGCGAAGGCGGUUCUCUGGGCCUUUCCUGACGCUGAGGAGCGAAAGCGUGGGGAGCGAACAGGCUUAGACACCCUGGUAGUCCACGCUGUAAACGGUGGGUACUAGGUGUGGGGUCCAUUCCACGGGUUCCGUGCCGUAGCUAACGCUUUAAGUACCCCGCCUGGGGAGUACGGCCGCAAGGCUAAAACUCAAAGGAAUUGACGGGGCCCCGCACAAGCGGCGGAGCAUGCGGAUUAAUUCGAUGCAACGCGUAGAACCUUACCUGGGUUUGACAUGGAUCGGGAGCGCUCAGAGAUGGGUGUGCCUCUUUUGGGGUCGGUUCACAGGUGGUGCAUGGCUGUCGUCAGCUCGUGUCGUGAGAUGUUGGGUUAAGUCCCGCAACGAGCGCAACCCU
This 664-nucleotide ribosomal RNA is filed under the name uncultured Propionibacterium sp. Its description in RNAcentral is "bacterial SSU rRNA". It matches the Rfam family "Bacterial small subunit ribosomal RNA", at positions 432 to 1105 of the family's 1533-position model. The record is from RNAcentral. Lineage: Bacteria; Bacillati; Actinomycetota; Actinomycetes; Propionibacteriales; Propionibacteriaceae.